Molecule: ribosomal RNA, 253 nt
Filed under: uncultured bacterium
Lineage: Bacteria
Description: partial 16S ribosomal RNA
Rfam family: Bacterial small subunit ribosomal RNA
Source: RNAcentral
UACAGAGGUGGCAAGCGUUGUUCGGAAUUACUGGGCGUAAAGGGCUCGUAGGCGGCCAACUAAGUCGGACGUGAAAUCCCUCGGCUCAACCGGGGAACUGCGUCCGAUACUGGAUGGCUUGAAUCCGGGAGAGGGAUGCGGAAUUCCAGGUGUAGCGGUGAAAUGCGUAGAUAUCUGGAGGAACACCGGUGGCGAAGGCGGCAUCCUGGACCGGCAUUGACGCUGAGGAGCGAAAGCCAGGGGAGCAAACGGG